RNAcentral lists this ribosomal RNA (398 nucleotides) under uncultured bacterium. RNAcentral's name for it is "bacterial SSU rRNA". It matches the Rfam family "Bacterial small subunit ribosomal RNA", at positions 28 to 428 of the family's 1533-position model. The record is from RNAcentral.
GACAAACGCUGGCGGCGUGCAUAAAACAUGCAAGUCGGACGAGCCAAUCCCCGCAAGGGGAAAGGCUAGUGGCGAACGGCUGAGUAACACGUAGGUGAUCUGCCCUGAAGUGGGGGAUAACGACUCGAAAGAGUCGCUAAUACCGCAUGUGACCACCGAUCCGUUUUCGGUGCUCAAAGUCGUAAGACGCUUUAGGAGGAGCCUGCGGCGGAUUAGCUAGUUGGUGAGGUAAUGGCCCACCAAGGCUUCGAUCCGUAGCUGGUCUGAGAGGAUGGCCAGCCAGACUGGGACUGAGACACGGCCCAGACUCCUACGGGAGGCAGCAGUUAGGAAUUUUGCGCAAUGGGGGAAACCCUGACGCAGCCACGCCGCGUGCGGGAUGAAGGCCUCGGUCGUAA